Molecule: ribosomal RNA, 941 nt
Filed under: Micrococcus sp.
Lineage: Bacteria; Bacillati; Actinomycetota; Actinomycetes; Micrococcales; Micrococcaceae
Description: bacterial SSU rRNA
Rfam family: Bacterial small subunit ribosomal RNA
Source: RNAcentral
UUGCUGGGUGGAUUAGUGGCGAACGGGUGAGUAACACGUGAGUAACCUGCCCUUAACUCUGGGAUAAGCCUGGGAAACUGGGUCUAAUACCGGAUAGGAGCGUCCACCGCAUGGUGGGUGUUGGAAAGAUUUAUCGGUUUUGGAUGGACUCGCGGCCUAUCAGCUUGUUGGUGAGGUAAUGGCUCACCAAGGCGACGACGGGUAGCCGGCCUGAGAGGGUGACCGGCCACACUGGGACUGAGACACGGCCCAGACUCCUACGGGAGGCAGCAGUGGGGAAUAUUGCACAAUGGGCGAAAGCCUGAUGCAGCGACGCCGCGUGAGGGAUGACGGCCUUCGGGUUGUAAACCUCUUUCAGUAGGGAAGAAGCGAAAGUGACGGUACCUGCAGAAGAAGCACCGGCUAACUACGUGCCAGCAGCCGCGGUAAUACGUAGGGUGCGAGCGUUAUCCGGAAUUAUUGGGCGUAAAGAGCUCGUAGGCGGUUUGUCGCGUCUGUCGUGAAAGUCCGGGGCUUAACCCCGGAUCUGCGGUGGGUACGGGCAGACUAGAGUGCAGUAGGGGAGACUGGAAUUCCUGGUGUAGCGGUGGAAUGCGCAGAUAUCAGGAGGAACACCGAUGGCGAAGGCAGGUCUCUGGGCUGUAACUGACGCUGAGGAGCGAAAGCAUGGGGAGCGAACAGGAUUAGAUACCCUGGUAGUCCAUGCCGUAAACGUUGGGCACUAGGUGUGGGGACCAUUCCACGGUUUCCGCGCCGCAGCUAACGCAUUAAGUGCCCCGCCUGGGGAGUACGGCCGCAAGGCUAACACUCAGAGGAAUUGACGGGGGCCCGCACAAGCGGCGGAGCAUGCGGAUUAAUUCGAUGCAACGCGAAGAACCUUACCAAGGCUUGACAUGUUCUCGAUCGCCGUAGAGAUACGGUUUCCCCUUUGGGGCGGGUUC